GUCCUUUAGAAUUAAUUAUUUAAGGUCUAACCUGCCCACUGAAAAAUUUUAAAUGGCCGCAGUAAAUUGACUGUGCAAAGGUAGCAUAAUCAUUAGUUUUUUAAUUAAAAGCUUGUAUGAAUGGUUUGACGAAAUAAAAUCUGUCUCUAAAUAAUAAUAAGAAUUUAAUUUUUAAGUUAAAAAGCUUAAAUUUUAAUAAAAGACGAGAAGACCCUAUAGAUCUUUAUAUUAAAACUAAUAAUUUUAUUUAGGAUUUUUUAUUUUUAUUAUUAUUUUUAUUAUUAUAUUGGGGUAAUAGGAAGAUUUAUUAAAUUCUUUUUAAUUUAUUACAAUAAUAAUUGUUUAUUUGAUCCUUAAUUUAAGAUAAUAAGAUUAAGUUACCUUAGGGAUAACAGCGUAAUUUUUUUAGAGAGUUCUUAUCGAUAAAAAAGUUUGCGACCUCGAUGUUGGAUUAAAAAUUAUUCUAGGUGUAGAAGUUUAGAAAUUUUGGUCUGUUCGACCAUUAAAUUUUU
RNAcentral lists this ribosomal RNA (512 nucleotides) under Nebrioporus ceresyi. RNAcentral describes it as "partial 16S ribosomal RNA". The stretch from base 388 to 512 matches the Rfam family "Bacterial large subunit ribosomal RNA", at positions 2473 to 2597 of the family's 2925-position model. Lineage: Eukaryota; Metazoa; Arthropoda; Insecta; Coleoptera; Dytiscidae. The record is from RNAcentral.